This 253-nucleotide ribosomal RNA is filed under the name uncultured bacterium. RNAcentral describes it as "partial 16S ribosomal RNA". It matches the Rfam family "Bacterial small subunit ribosomal RNA", at positions 524 to 776 of the family's 1533-position model. The record is from RNAcentral.
GACGUAGGGCGCAAGCGUUGUCCGGAUUUAUUGGGCGUAAAGAGCUCGUAGGCGGCUCGUUGCGUCGGCUGUGAAAACCCGCAGCUCAACUGUGGGCUUGCAGCCGAUACGGGCGGGCUGGAGUACGGUAGGGGCAGAGGGAAUUUCCGGUGGAGCGGUGAAAUGCGUAGAGAUCGGAAAGAACACCAACGGCGAAAGCACUCUGCUGGGCCGACACUGACACUGAGAGACGAAAGCUAGGGGAGCGAAUGGG